Molecule: ribosomal RNA, 887 nt
Filed under: uncultured organism
Description: bacterial SSU rRNA
Rfam family: Bacterial small subunit ribosomal RNA
Source: RNAcentral
GGCUCAGGAUGAACGCUGGCGGUCUGCUUAACACAUGCAAGUCGAACGCAACCUUCGGGUUGAGUGGCGGACGGGUGGGUAACGCGUGAGAAUCUGCCUUGGGGUCGGGGACAACCACUGGAAACGGUGGCUAAUACCGGAUAAGCCUUUGGGUAUAAAAUUUAUUGCCCCAAGAGGAGCUCGCGUCUGAUUAGCUAGUUGGUGAGGUAAAAGCUCACCAAGGCAGCGAUCAGUAGCUGGUCUGAGAGGACGAUCAGCCACACUGGGACUGAGACACGGCCCAGACUCCUACGGGAGGCAGCAGUGGGGAAUUUUCCGCAAUGGGCGAAAGCCUGACGGAGCAAGACCGCGUGAGGGAGGAAGGCUCUUGGGUUGUAAACCUCUUUUCUCAGGGAAGAAGCUCUGACGGUACCUGAGGAAUCAGCAUCGGCUAACUCCGUGCCAGCAGCCGCGGCAAUACGGAGGAUGCAGGCGUUAUCCGGAUUUAUUAGGUUUAAAGGGUGUCUAGGCUGCCACAUAAGUCAGGGGUGAAAGUCGGUUGCUCAACAAUCGAAUUGCCUUUGAAACUGUGUGGCUCGAGUAUAGAUGAGGUAGGCGGAAUGUGUAGUGUAGCGGUGAAAUGCAUAGAUAUUACACAGAACCCCAAUUGCGAAGGCAGCUUACCAAACUAUUACUGACGCUGAAGCACGAAAGCGUGGGUAGCGAACAGGAUUAGAUACCCUGGUAGUCCACGCCGUAAACUAUGCUCACUCGCUGUUGGCAAUAGAUCGUCAGCGGCUAACGGAAACCGAUAAGUGAGCCACCUGGGGAGUACGAUCGCAAGAUUGAAACUCCAAGGAAUUGACGGCGGCCCGCACAAGCGGAGGAACCUGUGCGUUUAUUCGAUG